ACUUGUUUUGUUGGUUGUCAUCUAACCAUCGUUCGAUCUGCCACCUGGUGCAUGGAUGGAUGCCUGGGUGCAUGGCGAUUACGCCAACACACACACGGUGAUGAUGGUUAGAUGACCAUCAGCAAACAUGUU
This 132-nucleotide microRNA precursor is filed under the name Triticum aestivum (bread wheat). RNAcentral describes it as "MIR827 microRNA precursor family". It matches the Rfam family "MIR827 microRNA precursor family". Lineage: Eukaryota; Viridiplantae; Streptophyta; Magnoliopsida; Poales; Poaceae. RNAcentral also lists the same sequence under 1 other name. The record is from Rfam by way of RNAcentral.